UUCAAGGCCACCAUAUCGGCCUUCAUCUGUUCUUGCACCUCGUCUACGUCACCCAUGAUUCUAGUCUUAGACCGGGUUCGAUAGGGGUGCCUUAGAGCGCAUUUAGUUAUGGUGUUACUUCCUAGAGGAACAAAAUGCGGUGAGUAAUGCGACAAAAAACUAAACAUGAAUGCAUGCUAAAGAUAAGUUGUCAAAGUAUUGGAUUUACACAGAGUUUUAAACACA
Molecule: long non-coding RNA, 225 nt
Filed under: Glycine max (soybean)
Lineage: Eukaryota; Viridiplantae; Streptophyta; Magnoliopsida; Fabales; Fabaceae
Description: long non-coding RNA (GMAX_LNC002676)
Source: RNAcentral